CAAUAAAGAAUCAGUUAAAAAAAUCAGUUUUUUUUAAAAAAAAUCAGUUAAAAAUAAAAGAAAACAUGUCUAAGGGUGAAAAUAUUGUUUGUUUCAUUAUCUUCUUAGUGAUAUUUUUGGUGGUUUCAACAGGUAAUUUUAACAUAGUUUUUGAAGUCUCCCAAAAGCAUGUCUUUGAUUUCUAAGCAUGAUGUGUAUUACAUAUGGGCAUUCAGAUUUUGGAACUAAUUCAAUUCGGUUUCUAUCAGAUCCGGAACUUUAGGUUUAUAUAUAUUUGAAGUCAAAUUGGAAUUUAUAAAUUUUGUUUGGGUUUGGGUUCAGUUUCCACAUUGUGUAUUCUAAUAUUACAAGCUCUAACCUUUUGCAUUUAAAAGGUUUUUAUUAGUCAUCAAUGUUUAACACAAAACAAAAUUAUUAAAAAAAUUAUAGAUGCUAAGAUGCGUUUGGUUUAUGGUGUUUACAAUGUAGAAAAUUGAUCUAUAUAUGUUUUGUCAUAAUCACUUUCCAACAGAGAAAAUAGCUGCUGAAAAACUGGACCGUGAUUGUCGAGGACUGCCACUCCUUGUGGCACCGCCUCACCAAGUUUUGUAAAAUUACUAUUCUGAUUUUGAAGAGAUAAUGACUUUUUUCUUCCAAGUUUUAUCUUACUGAAAGGUAAACUGACAUUUACAUAUUGUCCUAAUCUCUUAUUUGAGUCACAUUCAUAGCAAAUAGCCGGACAUUCAAUAAAGUAGAGAAAUCAUAAAUUGGCUACUUUGUUGUCAGGCAUUGAGUGAAAUGAAUUCCUGUAAUACCUUCGAAAGCUUCAAGUGCCUUCUGGGAUGCUUUUGUUGGAUGUUUCUUUUUUGUUUUUUGGCACAG
This 861-nucleotide long non-coding RNA is filed under the name Brassica napus (rape). RNAcentral describes it as "long non-coding RNA (BNAP_LNC013003)". The record is from RNAcentral. Lineage: Eukaryota; Viridiplantae; Streptophyta; Magnoliopsida; Brassicales; Brassicaceae.